RNAcentral lists this ribosomal RNA (734 nucleotides) under Acinetobacter baumannii. RNAcentral describes it as "bacterial SSU rRNA". It matches the Rfam family "Bacterial small subunit ribosomal RNA", at positions 20 to 748 of the family's 1533-position model. Lineage: Bacteria; Pseudomonadati; Pseudomonadota; Gammaproteobacteria; Moraxellales; Moraxellaceae. The record is from RNAcentral.
CCGCUCAGAUUGAACGCUGGCGGCAGGCUUAACACAUGCAAGUCGAGCGGGGGAAGGUAGCUUGCUACCGGACCUAGCGGCGGACGGGUGAGUAAUGCUUAGGAAUCUGCCUAUUAGUGGGGGACAACAUCUCGAAAGGGAUGCUAAUACCGCAUACGUCCUACGGGAGAAAGCAGGGGAUCUUCGGACCUUGCGCUAAUAGAUGAGCCUAAGUCGGAUUAGCUAGUUGGUGGGGUAAAGGCCUACCAAGGCGACGAUCUGUAGCGGGUCUGAGAGGAUGAUCCGCCACACUGGGACUGAGACACGGCCCAGACUCCUACGGGAGGCAGCAGUGGGGAAUAUUGGACAAUGGGGGGAACCCUGAUCCAGCCAUGCCGCGUGUGUGAAGAAGGCCUUAUGGUUGUAAAGCACUUUAAGCGAGGAGGAGGCUACUCUAGUUAAUACCUAGGGAUAGUGGACGUUACUCGCAGAAUAAGCACCGGCUAACUCUGUGCCAGCAGCCGCGGUAAUACAGAGGGUGCGAGCGUUAAUCGGAUUUACUGGGCGUAAAGCGUGCGUAGGCGGCUUAUUAAGUCGGAUGUGAAAUCCCCGAGCUUAACUUGGGAAUUGCAUUCGAUACUGGUGAGCUAGAGUAUGGGAGAGGAUGGUAGAAUUCCAGGUGUAGCGGUGAAAUGCGUAGAGAUCUGGAGGAAUACCGAUGGCGAAGGCAGCCAUCUGGCCUAAUACUGACGCUG